RNAcentral lists this ribosomal RNA (387 nucleotides) under Triticum aestivum (bread wheat). RNAcentral describes it as "partial small subunit ribosomal RNA". The record is from RNAcentral. Lineage: Eukaryota; Viridiplantae; Streptophyta; Magnoliopsida; Poales; Poaceae.
AUGGCCAUGGCACGGGAGCGUACAGGAGCACCCAGAGAUGCACGUGGGCUCGGCGGCUACGACGCGAGCAACAACGGCGGGGUAGGAGCAGGCAGAAGGAGCAGCAAAGCAGCAGGUAGGCAGCACGCCGGCAACAGCAAGGAGGCAGCAGCGCAAAACAGCAAAGCAGCAGCAGUACAAGGAGCAGCAGAGAAGCGGCAGGGCCGCGUGCGGCUGCACGCGGCACGCGUGGACGCGCGGUCGGGCAAGCCAGCACGCGGCCGGCGAGGCGCGGGCGUGCCGGAACAGGGCCGGCUCGCGGCGGACACGCGACAGGAGCGGGCGAGCAUGCGCGGAAGUGGGGCUCCGGCCAUGGCGAACAGCGACGCGCGGGGGCAUCUACGGUGA